Molecule: ribosomal RNA, 370 nt
Filed under: uncultured cyanobacterium
Lineage: Bacteria; Bacillati; Cyanobacteriota
Description: bacterial SSU rRNA
Rfam family: Bacterial small subunit ribosomal RNA
Source: RNAcentral
CGAAAGCCUGACGGAGCAAGACCGCGUGGGGGACGAAGGCUCUUGGGUUGUAAACCCCUUUUCUCUGGGAAGAAAAAUGACGGUACCAGAGGAAUAAGCAUCGGCUAACUCCGUGCCAGCAGCCGCGGUAAGACGGAGGAUGCAAGCGUUAUCCGGAAUUAUUGGGCGUAAAGCGUCCGCAGGUGGCAUUUCAAGUCGGCAGUCAAAGACCGGGGCUUAACCCUGGAAAGGCUGUUGAUACUGAAAAGCUAGAGUAGGGUAGGGGCAGAGGGAAUUCCCGGUGUAGCGGUGAAAUGCGUAGAGAUCGGGAAGAACACCGGUGGCGAAAGCGCUCUGCUGGGCCUAAACUGACACUAAGGGACGAAAGCUA